This 74-nucleotide transfer RNA is filed under the name Schistocerca americana (American grasshopper). RNAcentral describes it as "tRNA-Arg". It matches the Rfam family "tRNA". Rfam says of the family: Transfer RNA (tRNA) molecules are approximately 80 nucleotides in length. Their secondary structure includes four short double-helical elements and three loops (D, anti-codon, and T loops). The record is from RNAcentral. Lineage: Eukaryota; Metazoa; Arthropoda; Insecta; Orthoptera; Acrididae. RNAcentral also lists the same sequence under 2 other names.
GCCUCUGUGGCCUAAUGGAUAAGGCAUCGGUCUCCUAAACCGGGGAUUGUGGGUUCGAGUCCCCACCAGAGGUA